AGAGUUUGAUCAUGGCUCAGAAUCAACGCUGGCGCGCGCCUAACACAUGCAAGUCGAACGAGAAAGUGGAGCAAUCCAUGAGUACAGUGGCGUACGGGUGAGUAACACGUGGGUAAUCUACCCUUUGGUGGGGAAUAACUCUGGGAAACUAGAGCUAAUACCGCAUAAUCCCGAGAGGGAAAAGCAGCAAUGCGCCGAAG
This 200-nucleotide ribosomal RNA is filed under the name uncultured bacterium. RNAcentral describes it as "partial 16S ribosomal RNA". It matches the Rfam family "Bacterial small subunit ribosomal RNA", at positions 8 to 223 of the family's 1533-position model. The record is from RNAcentral.